CGGUUGGUCCUGCCGGACCCGACUGCUAUUUGGGUGAGGAUAAGCCAUGCGAGUCGAAUGGGAAACCUAAAUUUCCCAUGGCAGACUGCUCAGUAACACAUGAUCAACUUACCCUAUAGAGAAAAAUAACCUCGGGAAACUGAGGAUAAUUUUUCAUAGUUGAAAAGGCUUGGAAAAGUUUUUCAAUAAAAAGGAUAAAAAAAAUGGUUUUUAUCUGCUAUAGGAUAGGAUCGUGUUCGAUUAUGGUUGUUGGUGAGGUAACGGCUCACCAAGCCGAUAAUCGAUAGGGGCCGUGAGGGCGGGAGCCCCGAGAUGGGUACUGAGACAACGACCCAGGCCUUACGAGGCGCAGCAGGCGCGGAACCUCCGCAAUACACGAAAGUGUGACGGGGUUACCCAAAGUGUUCAAUUCUGAACUGUGGUAGGUGAGUAAUGUCCCCUACUAGAAAGGAGAGGGCAAGGCUGGUGCCAGCCGCCGCGGUAAAACCAGCUCUUCAAGUGGUCGGGAUAAUUAUUGGGCUUAAAGUGUCCGUAGCCGGUUUAGUAAGUUCCUGGUAAAAUCGGGUAGCUUAACUAUCCGUAUGCUAGGAAUACUACUAUACUAGAGGGCGGGAGAGGUCUGAGGUACUACAGGGGUAGGGGUGAAAUCUUAUAAUCCUUGUAGGACCACCAGUGGCGAAGGCGUCAGACUGGAACGCGCCUGACGGUGAGGGACGAAAGCCAGGGGAGCGAACCGGAUUAGAUACCCGGGUAGUCCUGGCCGUAAACGAUGCAUACUAGGUGAUGGCACGGCCAUGAGCCGUGUCAGUGCCGUAGGGAAACCGUUAAGUGUGCCGCCUGGGAAGUACGGUCGCAAGGCUAAAACUUAAAGGAAUUGGCGGGGGAGCAC
This 889-nucleotide ribosomal RNA is filed under the name uncultured archaeon. RNAcentral describes it as "bacterial SSU rRNA". It matches the Rfam family "Archaeal small subunit ribosomal RNA", at positions 5 to 879 of the family's 1478-position model. The record is from RNAcentral.